This 519-nucleotide ribosomal RNA is filed under the name uncultured bacterium. Its description in RNAcentral is "bacterial SSU rRNA". It matches the Rfam family "Bacterial small subunit ribosomal RNA", at positions 355 to 888 of the family's 1533-position model. The record is from RNAcentral.
UUAGGAAUUUUCCGCAAUGGGCGAAAGCCUGACGGAGCAACGCCGCGUGAGUGAUGAAGGCCUUCGGGUUGUAAAGCUCUGUCGGAGGGAACGAAGAUCUGACGGUACCCUCCAAGAAAGCCCCGGCUAACUACGUGCCAGCAGCCGCGGUAAUACGUAGGGGGCAAGCGUUAUCCGGAUUUACUGGGCGUAAAGCGCGUUAAGGCGGCCGGCUAAGUUGGUGGUGAAAUUCCAGGGCUCAACCCUGGAACUGCCUCCAAUACUGGUCGGCUCGAGUGCGAGAGAGGAAGGUGGAAUUCCCGGUGUAGUAGUGAAAUGCGUAGAUAUCGGGAGGAACACCAGUGGCGAAGGCGGCCUUCUGGCUCGCAACUGACGCUGUAGCGCGAAAGCGUGGGGAGCGAACGGGAUUAGAUACCCCGGUAGUCCACGCCCUAAACGAUGUGUACUAGGUGUUGGGCGUAUUGACGCGCUCAGUGCCGUAGCUAACGCAUUAAGUACACCGCCUGGGGAGUACGGCCG